CACCUGGCCCCAGAGCACCCAACACCCAAGUAGCCUGCCCAUGGGAGGGAGGGCAGGGCUUAGGCCUUGGACUGCAGGACAGAGGCAUCAUAUGCAGCAUGGGGGAAGGCCACGGUCAUCCCAACUUUUAGCAGGAGGAAGAGAGCCUGCAGAGACCAGGCUGGGCAGUGUGGCUUCGACUUCUCAGCAAAUACUAAAGCAGCGGAUGACAGGAUGGUGAGGGGCCAUACAGAAAAGGGACUCGAGACGACUGAGGGCCUGUGUGACGUCAUGGAGACCAGGUUAUGCCAGCCUGACCUCAGGCCCUCUUUGCAUGGGGUCACUGAACUGAUGAGCAAGCUAAGGCCAGAGACCUGACAUAAGGGGGCGUGCCUACAUCCCGCAAGGAGUAAAGUGGAGAGCCGGGGGUUCCAAGGACUCUCUGCCUCUGUGGUGUGCAGACGCCAGAGCUAGGAAGGGAGAGGAAGAAGCAGAGGACACAGACUGAUGCCCCCUCUGAUGCCUGGGCUCAGGGGGGCCGCCUUCCCAGAACAGAGGGGGCCCAGAGACAUGCUGAUGAUGACAGUCUGGGAAGGAGCAAAGGCCCCGGGCUCCACACGCGGCUCAGCUUUCUGAUGCCAUGAAGUUCACAACUCCAGGAAGGGCAUCAAGGCUAACCUCUUCAUCUGGCAGAGGAGGAAACUGAGGCCCAGAGAGGUGAGUCACCUGCCCAGGGUCACCAGCCAGGAAGCCUCAGACACACAAUUUGAAUCCAAGUUCUUGACACAGAAUACCAUUGUGUCUCUCCAGUAUGGGGCAAGCUGACUGUGCACAGACUCCAAGCCUUGUUAUUUAAAAAACCAAGGUUCAUUUUGAAGGGCCUCCACCCUUAGAAGGGCCUGGCCUCCUCAAGAGUUUUAUUAGUCAUGUGGUGUGCAGAGUGGAUUUGUGGAAGACAAACUCUAGAAGCUGAUAGGCCUGUCUCAUGGAGGAGGAAUUCUUCUGGUCCUGCUUGGCCACAGAGGGUCUAUGUGCCCGUGCCCUGGCACCAGGAAGGCCGUCAGCAGGCAGAGGACUCUCCUGAAAACAAGCAAGGCUGACCGAGGUGGUCCUGGCCCAGGAGGCAGGAGGAAGCAUUCCAUCAAGGCUUGGAAUUCCACGAUCGCCAUCAAACCCCAAUUCAGUGACUGAGCAAGAACGGUAAAGCCAGACCCCAAAACAGUCAUGUUAGAGGGUGAGCUCCUAGACAGCAGGGACUGUUUUGGGGACCUCUCUUUGUAAUCCCAGAACUUACAGUAUAGUGCCUAACAAACAGUGAGGGCUUAAUCAAUGCUUGAUGAUGACAAAAGCCACACCUAUGGGAUUUCAUUUCAGAGUUCGAGGUGCUAACUAGCAGCAAGCAGCAGAUGAAGAAAGCCUCUGAGGGUGAGUGGGCCCCAGAAACGGCUGACAGGCAGGGGAGGGGAGACUGCCUCCCGAGGGACAGCUGGCUCGGCCUCCUUCUAACAGGAUGGUCUUUAUCUGCAGCCUCAAGUAUUGCCCCCUGAUUGUCAGACAGUAGGAAGGCCCCUGCUGAUGCGGGGCUGGAGCUUGGGAGAGAGACUGAGGGUGGGGGACAUGGAGACCCCGGAGUCAUCUGCAUGGAACCGUGGGAGACAGAGGGGAGCACAGGCAGGAAGGCCUGGACUGGAAUAGACCACCAGGGUGCCAUGGAAGGCAGUUAACAUGUCUCUAUCCUCACCUCAUUCUGGAGAGAGGGCUGGAUUUGAAGUGCGGCUUGCACUGAUUUGCUGUGCGACCCUGGACAAUUCAUUCCACUGCUCGGUGCCUCAGUUUCCUGAUAUGUAGAAUGCAGACAAUCACACUCCCAGGGUGUGGUCGAGAUGGGCAUUUUACCCAACUAUCCCAGUGUGAGUGGUGUUGUCUCAGCGAGCAUUUGAAUGGGGAAUCCAUUCUGGAGAGACUACAGUGUUGGAGGUCGGGCCCGGAGGGGGCCCUUCCCGAGGAGCAGGGUGAAAGGUCCUCGAAGGCAGGGCCGGUCUUUUAUCAUCUGGGUGUCCGCGGUGCCUGGCACAGCGUCGGGCACACAGGAGCCAGGUAAGCUGCGCUUCCCGCCUUCCUCUAACAUCCUCCAGGACCAAGGAGAAGCAGCCCAGAAUCUCAGAAUUCUGCAGAAUUUGGAAAGCGCUUGGAGCCAGCCCCCACGCCUCAGGACAAGU
Molecule: long non-coding RNA, 2198 nt
Organism: Vombatus ursinus (common wombat)
Lineage: Eukaryota; Metazoa; Chordata; Mammalia; Diprotodontia; Vombatidae
Exons: 3
Source: RefSeq, a predicted model, not a curated record